UUCGACACGUACGGAAUCCUUAGAGAUAGGGAGUGCUGAAAGAGAACCGUAACACAGGUGCUGCAUGGCUGUCGUCAGCUCGUGUCGUGAGAUGUUGGGUUAAGUCCCGCAACGAGCGCAACCCUUGUCAUUAGUUGCUACAUUCAGUUGGGCACUCUAAUGAGACUGCCGGUGACAAACCGGAGGAAAGGUGGGGAUGACGUCAAGUCCUCAUGGCCCUUAUAGGUGGGGCUACACACGUCAUGCAAUGGAUGGUACAAAGGGUCGCCAACCCGCGAGGGGGAGCCAAUCCCAUAAAGCCAUUCGUAGUCCGGAUCGCAGUCUGCAACUCGACUGCGUGAAGUCGGAAUCGCUAGUAAUCGUGGAUCAGAAUGUCACGGUGAAUACGUUCCCGGGUCUU
This 400-nucleotide ribosomal RNA is filed under the name uncultured Acidovorax sp. RNAcentral's name for it is "bacterial SSU rRNA". It matches the Rfam family "Bacterial small subunit ribosomal RNA", at positions 980 to 1382 of the family's 1533-position model. The record is from RNAcentral. Lineage: Bacteria; Pseudomonadati; Pseudomonadota; Betaproteobacteria; Burkholderiales; Comamonadaceae.